RNAcentral lists this ribosomal RNA (295 nucleotides) under uncultured bacterium. Its description in RNAcentral is "partial 16S ribosomal RNA". It matches the Rfam family "Bacterial small subunit ribosomal RNA", at positions 335 to 620 of the family's 1533-position model. The record is from RNAcentral.
ACUCCUACGGGAGGCAGCAGUGGGGAAUAUUGCACAAUGGGCGCAAGCCUGAUGCAGCCAUGCCGCGUGUGUGAAGAAGGCCUUCGGGUUGUAAAGCACUUUCAGUCGUGAGGAAGGUGUGUGUUAAUUAAGCAUGCUAUCAUUUGACGUUAGCGACAGAAGAAGCACCGGCUAACUCCGUGCCAGCAGCCGCGGUAAUACGGAGGGUGCGAGCGUUAAUCGGAAUUACUGGGCGUAAAGCGCAUGCAGGUGGUUUGUUAAGUCAGAUGUGAAAGCCCGGGGCUCAACCUCGGAA